CUGCUGCCUUCCGUAGGAGUUUGGGCCGUGUCUCAGUCCCAAUGUGGCCGUUCACCCUCUCAGGCCGGCUACUGAUCGUCGCCUUGGUGGGCUGUUACCCCGCCAACAAGCUAAUCAGACGCGGAUCCAUCGUAUACCACCGGAGUUUUUCACACCGUCUCAUGCGAGACUGUGCGCUUAUGCGGUAUUAGCACCUAUUUCUAAGUGUUAUCCCCCAGUAUACGGCAGGUUAUCCACGCGUUACUCACCCGUCCG
RNAcentral lists this ribosomal RNA (255 nucleotides) under uncultured bacterium. RNAcentral's name for it is "partial 16S ribosomal RNA". The record is from RNAcentral.